Non-coding RNA from Marchantia polymorpha subsp. ruderalis, 134 nucleotides. The record is from the annotation of a GenBank genome assembly. NCBI's taxonomy places the organism in Eukaryota, Viridiplantae, Streptophyta, Marchantiopsida, Marchantiales, Marchantiaceae.
UAUUUCAUUGGCUUUUGGGCAGCACAGGUUGAUGUGGGAGAGCGUAAAGACUCAAGGUCUGAUUCAAGCUACCUGGUAUGAGUCUCUCUAAGCUCUCCUAUAACAACCUGUGUCGCCUCAACGCUAGUGAAUUA